GCCAAAAGUUAGACCACCCCUCAGGUGCACAACUCUAAAUUCACUCCUGCUUGUAUACCGCUAAAAGUCAUUCAUCAUUUGUUUUUGUGUCAUAGAAAAACAAUUCCCGUUUGGCUCUUUCAGACAACGCACCAGUGAGAAAGAAGAACACAAAGGCAAGUGAAAAUCAAGAAAAGGUACGGCGGCCCUUCCGCUUCCAAAAGCAGCCGUAACUGUCUCGGAUAAAUAAAUAGAUAGCAUGAAAAGGAAGCAUUAUCCGUCACACAGCGCUGAUACAGUCUAGCUUUGUAUUUAUUGCCCACUUAAUGGACUUGAUUGCAUUACUGCCGGUAAAGAAGGGAAAGAAAUCCGCUGGCGGUGAGAAGGUACUCUCACCACCUCGCAAUUACCUUAUGUAAAUCCUGUCCUGGAAUGUUGAUCCACUGCUAUUUAAAAUGCAUUGGAUUUCCAUGGAAAAUGAUCCACUCCUGCCGCCUGAAGCUCAUUAAUAACAUCGACGAGCCGGCCUGACAUUUGGAAUACUUACAUGCGCCGGCGUGUCUGCAACAAUGCGGCCUGUACGGUAGUUUGCCAUGCGCUCGAGCCUGACGGGAACAUUGGGAAGAAAUAUGGCAGCAAUAAGUUACUUGGGGAGCAGGAAUGGACAAAUAAGUGACGUGGUCCUUGAUAUGUGACCCUCAAAGUGACUUGAAGUCAUUAAGCGGUAGUUUACCUGUCUUGAAUCGGCCGGCCGAGUAUAACGUGCCUCUUGCGUUUUCAGAAUUUUUUUAGAGUCAAGCACCCUGAAUAAGCCGCAGUUCUGAGUCAUCCUUUAAAAGGUAGCGGUGAAGGUAUCGAGCUCUUAAUCGCCCAGCGGUUAAAAACAUUUUGUCUCUUCACACAGCCACUUUGGGGAGUGCCCACCUGCAAAUAAGGCAGGAGGGACGUGGGGGGAAAUCACCGCGGCCAUUAAUCUUUCAUGUUCCAUAAUGGCAUGUUCGCAUUACCUGCCCGCACCUCCGAGCCAGCGUCCAGAUCGGGCCGGGAAACUACCGUGAGCAUAUGGAGCACUUCAAACACUCUCAGCCCAGACUGCGGUCGCGCCCAUGAAUUAUAGAAAUGAUCUAAUUGUUUUCUCAUUUGGAAAUUGUGAGGGGCCCUCCUUUUUGGAACCACGGCACGAAACGCAGCGCCGCCAACCUCCGACACAUUUGUUGAUUCUAAAGCAGGCUGUCCAGUUAAAACAGAGCCAGACCUGAAAUUUGGGUUCAGGGGAUUGAAGAGGGACUUUAAAGAGCAACGGCGCUGAUCGGAAGGCACCGGUGGUUUGGACGCACCAAUGCGGCUUUUGGCAGACGUUCGGUUGUGGCUCAUCAAACAUUCAGCAGCGGCUCGCUCCUGCAGGAAAAGAAAACGUAAAAAAAGCGGCGAUAAGCCAUACUUGUGCCUAGUAAAGUUACGGGCGGAGAGCGGCGAAAAGAAUAACAGAAAGGUAAAUAAAGAUUUAAAGAUGCCGGGUUUAAGAAAUGCCAAGUCUGUGUAAUUUUGAACAGAGAGUGCCACCUAGAGGAGUCACAAAAAAUAGUGGUUCAUGAAGCAAUUCUGAAGCUUCAUUUUCCCAUCACUACAAAUAAUGUUUAUAAUUGUUCCGUUGGCCGCAUUUUUCUGCAUUCCGACUCGUGCAAAACAUCUCUCCUCACCUCCACCCCACUUUGUCUCAUUAGCAGUUAGCUAGGGAAUGAUAACGGAGCAUGUUUUCCCCUGGUACCGCCUCCCCCCACUGAGGCGCUAAUUAGGACAUGUCUUCAACAGCGCCGUCUGAUUGGAGGUAAAAGGCCGAGCAUAAUUACACAGACCGCCCCAAUGUUGUCGGUCUGGAGAGAAAAAGGCUGGGCCCCCUAAACACAUCAUGCCACAAUUCAAUUAAAGGUUUUAAUUAAAGUCCUGACACAUGGACGUCUUGGAUGAGAGUUGUGAUUUGAAAUCAAUGCAAGUUUUCUUUCUCCUCGCCGCAGGUAAACCUUUUGAGAGGGCGAACUCGACUGCUUCGCCAGCGCUCAAAUAAGCUCAUUGGAUUUGCUCCCGUGCCAACAUCUUACUUAAUUAGCCGGCACACUUUUAUGGGCAUAAAUCGCUUUUACAUCACUGCCAACGGAGCGCACCGCAAAGUGGGUCGAUCAUAUAUUAUGUUGAUCUUCCUUGGCGCACUUCAAGCCAUACAUUACAUUUGAAUUUGUCGAAGACGCCGGAGGGCCGCUGGCAUCCUUCUUCUUUGUUGUGCUGUCAGCGCUAAUCUCUCCCCAGGGGUCUCGGCAGCAGCUCUCGCCUUCUUUCUUGUUGCUGCCCCCAGACUGCAUGAGCAAAAGGACGCGGGGAUUGAGUCGAGCCAGGAGGGCACCCACACGUUUCUCCCGUCGCCCCUCCCCUGCCGAUAAACCUGCCUCCCACCUUCCGCUACCUCCAGGCCUCCACUUGGAGCGGUUGUGGUGUAGCAUUUAACAGGUUUACUCGAACUCAUUGGGAUGACAUGAAAAAAUACAGUGAGCCCCCAUCUAGGGUCUUUUUGUGGUCUGUCCAAAGUAUUAAAAGGGAACAAGACUCCUUGUGUAAGCUGAGGAUUGAUGACACGGUGCUAAACCUCAGCUUGCUGAAAUGUUGUUCAAAGUACAGUGAUGGGGACUCGCAAGUAAUUGUAGCGCUUCCUAAAAAAUGUUUUGGGGCAGUAAAUCACUAGUUUUGUCUAAAUACAACCCAACUCACUUUGUCAUUGGUCCUAUUGUAUAUUAUAUAUAUUGUCUAUAAAUAAAAAUAGAUUAAAUGUUAAGAAUUCAAUGUUCGGUGUCGGCGCUUCACCUUGUCAUGUUUGUGUUGUUCCACUAGGGGGUAGUAAAGAGCACUUCCAUCAUAACUUAGGCCAGGCUGCUUAUUUUUCUUCGGAUUAUCCUCCCCUUGCAUCCUCCUACCUCCGUCUUCCACCUCCACUCAAGAACACAACACGUUGUACUUCUUGGCAAAUGUAUUUCAAAAACACAAUUUUCUUUGCCACCUUUCCUCUCCACUGGUGCAUUAGCAUGGAAGUCACCCAGGUGAUUCAUGUGUUGCCAAUUUCUUUGUUCUUUGCCUUCUUUUUUUUUGCAUGCCACCUCACCCCUGUCGCCCAGGCUAAGCUUUGUGCGAUGCAGAAGGAGGGGGUGGCGAUUAAGGCGAAGAGAGGCGGAGGAGUGGUUGACCGAGUAGACCCCAGGGUGGUGGGGGCGGCUAGCGUUCGCAGCCCCCCUGGUCCCCCUUGAUGAUGAGGUGGAGCCUAAUUGAUUUGUCAAUGUGGAACCAUCUGGCACGGAAAGAUGGGCCUGCAACCUGUUCUCCUCCCUGUGCUGGAUGAGAAACUAAAAGUUCCUCUCAGUUGAAUGAUGACAAAGGGCAGCAGAAGGCAUGACACAGCCCAGAGGGCGCAGACCGCCGGCCACGUAGGAGACACUCGCAGCUCUGUGAGCCCCAACGCACGACCGGAGGGGGAGGAAGGGGCUGGCUGGGAUCAAAAGUUGGAUGCACAAAGUGGGUCAAGAAAUUUCCAGGACUGGUGAUAGAAAAUUUCAAACCCGGACAAUGCCCAUCUGACGAUUCUUGGACCAGAAGAAUAUCGCAGCUACUCAUCCAACCUGGGAUACAAAUUUGUCAUCCCUGAAGUCGAACGAUGGAGGCCACUAAUGUUUUCCAACAUGCAAUAGCCAACAGGGCGGAUCCAGGAUACACAGCAAAGUGCAACCAUGGGACUAGAUUCUCAUGUGAUGUCAUCAAUCAUGUAACAAGUCAUCCAGAUGUUUUCUCUUUUAAAUGCGGAGUGUACCAAGUCAUGCCACCGUAAGGAGAGAGACCCAUUUGCCAUAUUUCAGUGCCAAUACCAAUUACCUCGAAUUAUUUUCACAGGUUUUCCAAAAUCUCAAAAUGACUGAAAUGUUAAGUGGUUAGAGAAUUCUCGACAGCAUCUCAUAACAUUAACUGGGAAUUUUAUUCGUUUGUUCCCUGACGACAGGUGAGUGGCACGAAAAGAAGCUAAAAUGGGUCAAAUGAAGUAGAAUUGUCAUUUACGGGGAAUUCCACUGCAUGACCUAAACAUCGGCCUUCCUGUUCGACCCGGGUGAUGUGCGCUCAUCCCGAGGAAAGGGAAAUCCAGACUGUCCAUGCACGCCACAUUGGAGUGUGACGGAAUGUAUACAAUAUUCGGUUUUGGUGAGUGUGAUUCGGCGAGCAGCUGUUGCAGACAGAUCAGUGAUAACGCUUUUAAUAAACUCCACAGGAGUGUAUAUGUUCUACUCUCCGGUCUUUGAAAGCUCCAGGGGACAUGAUUGAUGUGCUUUUACAACAGGAGGACUCCUGCACACAUACUGUACAUUGGAGGUAACUUGGCUGAAAAGAGAAUGGAAAGAAAAACAAAGUAAGCAAGGGAGGAGGGAAGGUUAUUUUGAGGGUCUCUGAACCGUAAUCACCACCUACAUCUGCUUCCUCCCAGGUGUUGGACGUCAACAGGGAGACACGGCGCAGAAAAAGCAGAAGCUGCUCCCCAAAAGAAAUGCUCGAUUGUAAAGGUGAGGCAUCGGCACUUGUGUUGUUCAUAAUUAGACUUCAUUUCCAUAUUCUGACUAUGGAAGAAAGACAA
Long non-coding RNA from Syngnathus acus (greater pipefish), 4636 nucleotides. RefSeq lists it as uncharacterized. Lineage: Eukaryota; Metazoa; Chordata; Actinopteri; Syngnathiformes; Syngnathidae. The transcript is spliced from 5 exons. The record is from RefSeq and is a predicted model, not a curated record.